GAUGAACGCUGGCGGCGUGCCUAAUACAUGCAAGUCGAGCGAACAGACGAGGAGCUUGCUCCUCUGACGUUAGCGGCGGACGGGUGAGUAACACGUGGAUAACCUACCUAUAAGACUGGGAUAACUUCGGGAAACCGGAGCUAAUACCGGAUAAUAUAUUGAACCGCAUGGUUCAAUAGUGAAAGACGGUUUUGCUGUCACUUAUAGAUGGAUCCGCGCCGCAUUAGCUAGUUGGUAAGGUAACGGCUUACCAAGGCAACGAUGCGUAGCCGACCUGAGAGGGUGAUCGGCCACACUGAAACUGAGACACGGUCCAGACUCCUACGGGAGGCAGCAGUAGGGAAUCUUCCGCAAUGGGCGAAAGCCUGACGGAGCAACGCCGCGUGAGUGAUGAAGGUCUUCGGAUCGUAAAACUCUGUUAUUAGGGAAAAACAAAUGUGUAAGUAACUAUGCACGUCUUGACGGUACCUAAUCAGAAAGCCACGGCUAACUACGUG
This 497-nucleotide ribosomal RNA is filed under the name uncultured bacterium. RNAcentral describes it as "partial 16S ribosomal RNA". It matches the Rfam family "Bacterial small subunit ribosomal RNA", at positions 28 to 507 of the family's 1533-position model. The record is from RNAcentral.